GACGAACGCUGGCGGCGUGCUUAACACAUGCAAGUCGAACGGAAAGGCCCUGCUUGCAGGGUACUCGAGUGGCGAACGGGUGAGUAACACGUGGGUGAUCUGCCCUGCACUUCGGGAUAAGCUUGGGAAACUGGGUCUAAUACCGGAUAGGAGCCAUCUUUAGUGUGGUGGUUGGAAAGUUUUUUCGGUGUAGGAUGAGCUCGCGGCCUAUCAGCUUGUUGGUGGGGUAAUGGCCUACCAAGGCGGCGACGGGUAGCCGGCCUGAGAGGGUGUGCGGCCACAUUGGGACGGAGAUACGGCCCAGACUCCUACGGGAGGCAGCAGUGGGGAAUAUUGCACAAUGGGCGCAAGCCUGAUGCAGCGACGCCGCGUGGGGGAUGAAGGCCUUCGGGUUGUAAACUCCUUUCGCUAGGGACGAAGCUUUUUUGUGACGGUACCUAGAUAAGAAGCACCGGCUAACUACGUG
This 466-nucleotide ribosomal RNA is filed under the name uncultured bacterium. Its description in RNAcentral is "partial 16S ribosomal RNA". It matches the Rfam family "Bacterial small subunit ribosomal RNA", at positions 28 to 507 of the family's 1533-position model. The record is from RNAcentral.